RNAcentral lists this ribosomal RNA (116 nucleotides) under Panthera pardus (leopard). The record is from RNAcentral. Lineage: Eukaryota; Metazoa; Chordata; Mammalia; Carnivora; Felidae.
GUCUACGGCCAUACCACCCUGAACGCGCCCGAUCUCGUCUGAUCUCGGAAGCUAAGCAGGGUCGGGCCUGGUUAGUACUUGGAUGGGAGAAGAGAGAAAUUCACCCAAAGAAGGAU